RNAcentral lists this long non-coding RNA (16280 nucleotides) under Vigna radiata. RNAcentral describes it as "long non-coding RNA (VRAD_LNC004166)". The record is from RNAcentral. Lineage: Eukaryota; Viridiplantae; Streptophyta; Magnoliopsida; Fabales; Fabaceae.
CUAUGAAAUCACCUUUUCUGAUACAUUGGUCAUCUUUGAAGGCAAGAAUGCCUUGUCGACGGAGAGCUCCAAAGAGAAAACUAGUGAAGUUGUAGCGCGUGUCUUCAUCACGGAAGCUGACAAAUACAUCGUAUGCAUUAGAUAAAGAAGAGGUGCGAUGGAUGAUGGCGUCGGACGCUGGUACGGAAGGUCCGAUAAGGGCUGUUGGGUGAGACACGGUCAUACCGUCGGACAUGCCGGACAUGAUCCGGUCCGGUUCUUUGACAAACCGGAGGAUACGGCGGAGAAUGUUGAAGACAGGCGAAUACAUUUAUUAAGGAAAUCAGAAACUCAAUUCCUGGAACUCUUUUCCUUGAAUUUUAGAUUUGAGUGAGAAAGCGAGAGAUAGUUGUUUAAUAGGAGAAGUAAGGGAGUGGCCUGACUUUAUAGAGAAAGGAAAGAGAGGUAAAUGUAAGGAAGAGAAACAUCUUGGUCUUGUAAUGCAUCGGUAUAACAGGUCUGUGUUCAUUAGUGGAAGCAGAAAUUGCUGCGAAAAUGUAAGCAAAAGUCAAGCGGUUGAUGGUGGAAUUAACGCCUUUCAUUUUUGCGUUUUUUCGUAGAAGCUUAUGAGAAAAAUCAUUGAUUAUAAUUGUACUAUUUGCCUGCGAAAAUGCAGACAAACAAUCUAGAAAUAUAGAUUCGAAUCCUGCGGUUGGUGGUGGAAUUAUAAAGUUAACGCGUUUCUUACUGUUUGCCUGCAAAAAUGCAGGCAGUCAAUCUAAGCUUUUUUCGUAGAAGCUUUUCAGAAAAAUCAUUCUAAGAUUAAUAAAACGCGUUUCAUUUUUGCGAGUACUGUUUGGUAUUGUAUGGAUAGGUCUACUUCAUGUUCCUCACUGAUAAUUAAAAGCUGGUAAAGUUCUUCUUGAUACAGAGUUUCUUUACUUAUUUAUCUUCUUAUUCUCAAUCAAUAUUGAUUUGACAUAUAUUUUUAAUCUACUAAACUGAUAUUUUAUUUUAUUUUAUUAAAAUAUUCAUAUAUAAUAUGUGGUCAUUUAUAAUAUAUAUAAUUAAUUCUUUUCCAGAUUGGAUUUUUUCAAUCUAUUGAUUAUUAAAUAGUUAAAUCAAUAUUUUAUAUUGUAUAACAUCGGAUAUGAAAAUAGUUAUUUUAGAAUAAAAUUAAAUAUAAUUUUAGUUUCUAAAUUUUGAAUACGAAAUUAAAAUUAGUUCAUAUUUCAAAAUUUAAUAUAAGUUAAUUUAUUGUAUAAUAUAAUUAGACUAUUGAUUGUAUGAGUAUGAUAAAAUUAUUAAUACUAACACAAUCAUAUUUUGAAAUAAUUUUAAAUAAAAUAGAGAUAAGUUUGUUGAAUUUUUAUAGAGAAAUCCAUUCAAAUUUGCUAAAUUUGGAGCCAUUUCUACAAAUGUUAGAAAUUGAGAAAACAAAACCCAUACAAUUUUGUUUUUCCUUGAAAUAGUCUAGUUCUAAUCUUUAUCUAUAUAAUUUUUCUUUGUAGAAGGGGUGGAACCGACGUUUUCUUGUUCUAUCCAAAUAUUUCUUUUUAUUCUUUUUUAUGUUAUUUAUACGUUUUUUAUCACUGAAUAAUAUUUCUAUACUCAAUAUUUUGUUGUGAAAAAUGUUUCAUACAUACAUGAAACUAAUUAUUAGUAUCAUAAAAGUAUUGUAUUAUAAUAUAUGUAAAAUAUCUUUUUUGUCCCAAUUUUGGUUACGAAUAUUCGAAAUGUUCCCAUUUUAUUUUUUUUGUUCAAUAUAGUCCUAAAAAACGUAAUUAUGGUCAAUUUAGUCCUUUUUCUGUUCAAUGUAAUCCUAAAGAACGUAAUUUGUGUUCAAUUUAGUCCUUUUUACAAACUCCGUGAACCACAAACAAGGACUAAAUUGAACACAAAUUACGUUCUUUAGGACUACAUUGAACAUAAAAAGGACUAAAUUGAACAUAAUUACGUUGUUUAGGAUUAUAUUGAACAGAAAAAUAAAAUGGGGACCAGUUUGAAUAUUCGCAGGGAAAAAAAAGGUAUUUAACCUAUAAUAUAUGACACAAGUUUGAAUUCCACAUUAAACGUGUUUUCAGGUUUCAAAAUUUGAUGAUAAAUUAAUUGUUGAUUAAGUUUCAUUGAUUUUAAGUUUACCAAGACUUGAUUGGAGAAAUAAUGGAAACUACAUGAAAAAUGAACAACUCUUGAAAACUCAAUCACUUUUAUACACCAGCCAAAGAAUCAUGUCAUGUUCCUAAAUACAUUACUUUUCUUUGUGUUCCAAAAACUUGAUUAUACACAUUUCUUGCAACCUAUCUAUUAUGAUUCAUCACCUUGGUAUCACUUCAGAGACUGUUAUUUGAUUGAGAGAGUAAUGCAUAGAAGUGUUUGAUGAAGAUUCUCUUUCAAUGGCUGCUCUUCCAACAGAAAAUGCAGGGCGUGUGGGGCUGGGAAGACUCAUUGUGUCACUUGCAAGCAUAUGAACAACACUUGACAUUGUUGGUCUAUCUGCUGCAUCUUCUUGCACACACAACAGUCCAAUGUGCAUACACUUCACAAAUUCACUGUGUACACUUGAUUUUUCUAUUGAUGGAUCCAUCAAUUCCAACCCUUUGCUUUCACACCAGAGGUUCCAUGCCUAUGAUAGUAAAUGCAGAUGAUUUAGAUAGAACCACUUGAAGAAAAUGAAGAGAACAUAAGGUUAAACGAUAGAGAAAUUCUAGGAAUGAAUAAGUUUCAACCAAGAACAAUACUAUUAUUAGUACUCUUCUAAUAAUGGAUAUAUAAGGAAGCUUUAAGACUAGAAAACAGGUAAAACCAACAUAAAACUUUUGUUCUUGUGCUAGAGUAGGUGACAACAAACAUUUGGGGACUAAAAGCAGAACAUGUGCAUGUAUCAUGAACAUAUUUAAACAUAAAUGUAAGUUUGAAACAUACAUAUACGAGAAGGCUUUGGCCUCUGUCUGACUGAUAGAAUUUACAGCUCAUUUUUCCACUGAUGAUCUCUAGCAAAAGAACACCAAAGCUGAAAACAUCUGACUUCACUGAAAACAAACCUUCCAUAGCAUACUCUGGAGCCAUGUAUCCACUGCUCAAAAUCAAUGUAACAGUAAGCUUUAUAAAUCUCAAGUAAAUUCAGCAAGAGGAGAAGGCUAGAAAAUUAAUUGUGAUGCUAUGUGGCAAUUCAUAGUUACAUGUUCAUGUGAAGAUUUUGGUACACAAUUGAAAGAAGGAAAAUGGUUCAUACUAUGUUCCAACAACUCUAAUUGUGUUGGCCUGCCUCUGGUCUCCUCCAAAUGUUCUUGCCAAUCCAAAGUCUGAGAUUUUAGGAUUCAUUUCUUGAUCUAGCAAAAUGUUGCUAGCUUUCAGGUCUCUGUGAAUAACCCUUAAUCUUGAGUCUUCAUGUAGAUAUAGAAGCCCUUUAGCAAUCCCAUUUAUAAUGUUUAAUCGAUUUUUCCAAUCCAGAUGGACACCCUUCUCGGUAUCUGAAAUUCAAUUCUAAGAAAUAUGAUCACUAUAUUCAAAAACAUGUCAUUCAAAGUGAAAAAUAUGACUACAUUCACAGCAAAUAUGAACUAGGUAGCAAAAUGUUGUGUUGGUGUUUGUGCAUGAACUAACUUCUAUUAUAUGUAAUCAAACUCAGAAGUUUAUAUCGGAAUAUAUAUCAAGAUCUUCUGUCAAAUUGUUGAUUUGUUUCAAUGACGAGAAAUGAAAUAAUGAACAACUGGGUCAUUGUUUUGGAGUCAUACCAAAUAGGUGGAAAUCAAGGCUUGAAUUUGGCAUGAAUUCAUAGACUAGCAGCUUUUCAUUUUGCUCAAUGCAGCCAGCCAACAGUCUCACAAGAUUGCGAUGCUGCAAUUUGGCAAUCAAUAUUACUUCAUUCUUGAAUUCCUCCCCACCUUGAACUGAUGUUUUCGAAAGCCUUUUAACAGCAAUUUGUCUUCCAUCUGGUAAUAUACCCUAGAAUAUUUUUCAAAUUUAUAAGUAAGAAUGUUGCAAGUGAAGAAACCAAACAAGUAAACAUCAUGCCUGAUAUCCUAAUUCACUACCUUAUAGACAGGUCCAAAUCCACCUUUCCCCAGUUUUUGUUCAUCAGAAAAAUUGUUUGUACAUUUUAGAAUAGUACUCAGAGGUAUCAUAGGAAGGUCAGUGUUCAUACUCUCCUCCUUUUCUGUUUGUUCUUGUGAAAAUAUUGAAUUUAGUCCCUCCUCUUGUNUANUUUGUUUGUCUGCAAAGAUGAAAUUAUCAGACAUAAACAGGAACUNAUAGAUAGCCUUGGCUGAGAGAACACUUUUAGAGUUAUGAUAUGAUUGGAACUUUAUUUCUAUAAACACUUGCAAAAGAAGAAAAUAAGAAAUGAAAAAUCUUUUCCACAGACUAAAAUUAGCUUAUAAAUAAGUUAAACAUCAACUUUUUUUGGAGUAGUUAACAGGAGAAAGCUUUUACAAAUUAGUUUAACAUAUGUACAUAAACUAAUUAUAGUCUAUGGAAAAGCUUUAUCUCAUAUUUCUUCUUUCUAUUUUCCUCUCCUACAAGUUUUUCUGAAGAGGUUUAUCCAAUGUUCUUUAUGCUUACCUUUUUUCCUUUUCAAGCAGCAGUAGUAUAUGCUGAUAGCCAAUAGAGCUAGUACUACAAUUCCAGCUACGACAAUGAUUACUAUAAGCCACCACCUUCUGUUAUUCCCAUCUGUGGCUGCAUUAUCUAGAGAAAAUAGCAAGUUUAAUUUGUGUAAAAUGGUGAGAACUGAAAAUAUGUUUAUUUCAGGCCUUAUAAAAACUCAGGAUCAAACAAGCACAAGUUGUUGGGGAGCAAGGGGUAUGAAUUUUGAAAUCUGUGACAAGAUAAUCUUCAACAGAAGAUGUUAAUAACAACACUUUAACCAUCAAUCCAAAUUUAAGGGAAUGAAUUUUCACUGAUCAUAUAAACCGUAGCAAAUGAAUGUCUCAGAAUGAAGGUGAAAAAAAUGAACUCAUACCUUGCUGAGGUGGUGGUGCAGAAUCAGUACCAUUCAAAAAGAAAGGCUGAGUUUCAUACAUAACCAUACAACUUGGAGAAAAGAUACGCCACACCUUCUUCUCCUGACAGCAAUUGUCAACAUCCUCAAGCAUAUUGCUCAAACAUGUUCUGCAUUCCUCAGCUGUAAUGUCUCUGCUGCACUGCACCCAACCAUACCUUCUCUGAGUGCCAUUUAUGUUGAACAUAUGUGUUCCAAACUUCAAGGGUGCCUCUGACCCUAUUUGUAUCAAACCAUUCAUCAAAACCUGAGCAUCACUGUCAAACUCUCCAGCACUAGUAGAAUUCUGCGUGGCAUCAAACAUGGGAAUCCUUGGCCUAAGGGUGAGAUUGCCAAAGAAAUUCUCGUUUGAGUACCUCAGANNACAANAGNNGNNCCAGAGAAUAGCAGANGCAUUGUUGGGGCAGUGCUGCAUGAGCAAGAUACUAGAGUUUUGGACACAAGCAUUGCAAAGGCUGGUGUUCACAUCACCACGGCAAAGGUAGAGUCCAUAAACCAUGUCUUGAUUAACACCAGAAGUUCUAUUCCCAAAACCAUUGCUGGUAGCAGAAUCAGAUGAGAGGGAAGUGAACAAAUUGUUGAGGUUGGUUUGGUAAGAAGUAGAAGGAGGAGCAGAAGAUUCGUCCAAACAAGCAUAUCUAUAAUCAAGUGGUUGUUGUGAGUUGCUGCUGUUCUGAGCAGAAACAAAGCAAACAACGAGGUAUAUCAGUUUGAUGAUGAAUAACCACUGAUAGAUCAUUCUUCUUUUGCUGCAAUCACCACUGUGUAUCAUCAGCAUAAUGAUCCGAGGAGUGUUUCAGAGGCCAAGAUUUCGAAGUUAUACAUCAUCGAUUUGUCAAACGUUUGACAUUUGCUCAUUUUCAUGUUCUUGCUUGUAGCAUCAACUUUUUGACCAUGCAAAACACAAAAUGUGAAACCCCAUAUAGUAUUAGAAAAUUUCAAAAAUUGGUUAAUACUAAAUUAACUUUAUACAAAUUGUUCCGGCUUAAUUAAGUAUCAAGUUUUAUAAUUUAUGUAUUUUCAAUUGAAUUUUUUUUUAUUUUUUUUCUAUUGAGUACUUAAUAUUUUAUGUUUUUUAUUUGAGUAGGCAUCAUUUGAUUUUUAUGUGAAAUAUGUGAUAUUACUAUUAUGUAUUUUUGUUUGAUUUGAAAUGUGUUGGAUACCGAUAUAUUAUUGUUAUUAAACUAAAAAAUAGUUAUUAUUACGAUAUUACUAAAUUGUUAUAAACUAUGACGUAGAAGUUUUGAUGAUAAUGGAAACAUUCACACUGGUAAAAGUCAAAAUAAUAAAAAUCACUCUUAAUACAUUAAGAGUAAUAUUAUUGAAUAUUAAUCAUAAAAUUUUAUAUCAUUUUUACUAAUCACAAAAUUUAUAUUUUAAAAACAAAUAAAUAAAAUAAUGAUAAAAAUUUAUCUGGAAUCUAGGAUUCCAUACAAUUCUGUUUCUAAAAAACAAAAGAAAAAAUAAAUAUUUAAACUUUUUUAUUUUUUAAUUCUUAAUUUUUAAAGUAUUUGAGACUAUUAUACAUGAUAGUACCAGUAAUAUUAUUUAAUAAAAUCUUAUUCAUAUGUUUUUUUUUUGUUCAUAUUUGGAAGCGUGUUUGUAAGCAAUGAAAAAAUAGUUUAACAUUAAAAGCAAAAUCAUGGUCAACAUUGGUACCUCUGAAAAAGUUAAAACCAUGUUUGGCAUGCAAAUAAUUGAGGUAAGGGACCAUCCAAUGUCUUCAUCAUGUUUUGGUUAAGAUAUUCAUAAAUGUUGAAAGUAUAUAUGUCUUUGGAUUGAUGAUCCAAACACUUUAUAAUUUUUAAUUUUUAUUUUAUUUUAAUUUUUUUUCUGGCAGAUUAGAACUACACUGAAUCAGACAUAAAAGGAAAAUAAAUGAUGAAAAGUAUAAUUUGGCUAACAUCAAGUAAAAAUAACAAAACUUUAAGGUUGUCUCAAUUUAUAGUUUAGGAAAAAGUUUUUUUAACAACUCUUUUUUAACCAUUUUUUACAACGUACGUGACAAUUUGUGAUUGAUCCGUUUCAAAUAUUUUUUUAAAAUAAAUUCAAACAGACCAAUAAAAUUGUAACACGUGUCAUGUUAUAAAAAAGUUGUUAAAAAAAAAGUUGUUAAAAUAUGAUUUUCCAUGGUUUAAAUGGAAUUAGGAGUUAAACUUGAUUAUAAUAAAGAGUACCCAAAAGGUUUCUUUAAAAUUUAUGAGAUAGGAUAAACCAAAUGGUAGGUUGACAUGUGUCAUUCAUAUUUUUUCAAAAAAUCAUUCAAUUUACCUUUUAAAGAAAUAAGGAGAAUAAUGCAUUAGUUUGUGUGAUUAUUUGAUAACAAUGUAAAUUAAAUUUUGUUAAUAAAUUAUCUAAAAAUUAAUAAAUAUAUUUUUGUAAUUAAAUAUCCAAAUAUUAAUUAUAAAUUAUUAUUUCUAAAUUAUAAAAAAAAUAAUUAGGUUAUUUUUUAUUUAUCUGUAAGAUUUUUUUUUGUUCAUAUUUUUUUUUCAAUUUUUUCUUUUAAUUAAUCGCUAUUUUAAAUUAAAAUAAUUACAUUACUAUUUUUAUCCUUUAAAUGACUAUUAAUCUAAAUUUAGUUGUUAUAAAUUAAAACAAAUAUUUUACUAUUUUAUCCUUUUAAUAAUUACUUUUUUUAAUUCAAAUAAUUAUUUAUAAUAAAUAAUAAAAAUGUAUACAUAUUAUUUUUUUAUAAUUAUUUUAAUAAAAAUUAUUUUAAAGAGAAAAUAAAAAUUAGAAUAAAAAAAUUAACAUGUUUUUACUUGUUUGAAUAAUAUUCUUUCAAUUCAUGUAAUAAUUAUAGUUAAAAACUAAAUUUUGAGAACUCCAAAAAUUAUUUUAAUUAAAAAACAAUUUAAAUGUGAUACGAAUUUUUAUGUACAUAGUGAAUUAAAAAGGUUUAAUUAUUGAUUAAAAGUAUAAAAAUAUUUAUCAAGUUCCAAAUUAUUGUUCAAUAAUAUUUUUAAGAUUCCAAAAGUAAAAAAUUAAAAAAAAAAAUUGUAUAAACUUUUCCCAAUAUAACAUCUUAAUAGAUCUUGAAAAAAAAAACGAAUACAAUAAUGAGUCAAACUUACUAGUAAUUCAUUAAUGGCAAAUACAUCUUGGAAGGGUCUUCUAAAUAAUUAUUUUAUGUUUAAAAGGUUCAAUUUGUCAUUUUUCUAUUGAGAAUAUUUAAUUAUAUAAAUUUGACUUGCAUUAACCAAAAUCAUCAAAUUUCAUCUAAAAUAUAGAAGAAUAUCGGAAUUCAUACAUCAAAAACAUCAAAUAAAUAAAUAAUACAUGAGAGAGAAAGAAGGUGAACAAAAUAAAGAUUAAGUUUAAAGUCAAUGAAAGUUGUACAUGUGUGAAAUGAUAAACAUGUCUCUCACCUUCCAUACACAUAUAUCAAUUUUAAAAUAGCAAUAAAAAAUGUAUAUAUAAAUAUCUCUUCAUAAUAGUAUUCCCUCAUAUAGAAUAAUACAAAUCUUAUUAAUCAAUUAUUUUAAAUAUUAGUUUGCAAAUAUUAAAACAUCAUUUGCAUUAAACAAGUUGAAAAGUUUUAUAGUUCUUUAUAAAUGGUGUCAUUAUUUCAUAUUAUUAUUUUUCUUAGUGUUUAAAACAUGUAUUAUAAUUAUUUCUCAAAUUGCAAAUAUUAUGUAUUUUUUUAUGUAUGUUUUUGUGAUUGUUAUGUUUAGAAUUGUAUACAUAAAACAUGUAUUAUAAUUAUUUCUCCUUAUACUAUGUUUUCUAAAAUUAGUUGGAAGGUAGUUGAAAAUUGAAAAGGUAUUUGAGAGUUAAAAAGCUAAUUAUUAAUAAUUAAAAAACUUAUCAAUAAAAUUAUCUUAAAGCUGUAAAAUGGUAAACAAAGAUACAAAUAAUUAUUGAGUCAAAUCUUAAUAUUAAGUAAUUACAUAUUUUUAAUAAUUAUAAAUAUAACAAUAUUCAUGGUAAAAUAAAUUAAAAUUGUAUUCGUUAAUCAAUUUAGGUUUGAUUAGCAAUAAUAGAAAAAUCAAUUAACAUUAAUACCCCCAAAUACUUUUAAAAGUCUAAAUGUGGUCAUUGUCUCAUGUAAUUAAUGUGAUUAUUAAUGCGAUUAAUUAAUUUUUCAUAAAAUAAUAGCUUAAUAAUGUAGUUUGAAUUUUCAGCAUAGGACAAUAAAUUGGAAUAUGUAAAUGAUCCAUCAACAUCAUACCUCACCUUUUUUUUCCCUUAAAGUUAUUAUUUAUAAAUUCAACUGUUAAAUCAUACAAUAUAAUUUAAUUCUUAAUAGCUAUAAUACUGUAAAGGUCAACUUUAAAUCUUACUUUCAACUUUGAAAUUAAGAUAUUGGUUUGGUCAAAGAAGAGUAUAGAACUAUUUUUAAAAAAAUAUUAAUACCUCUAUUAACUAAAUAAAACUAUUUUAAUAUACACAGAAUAGAGAUUAAGCCUCUAACUACGUGAUUAAGAAACGAAGUUAUUUGUUAAUCAUAUGAGUUAUUUUUAUAAUUCUACUUCCAUCUUAAUUAAUAUUUGGGCAAUAUUGAUUUUUGUAAAUAAUCGAUUUAAAUUUUUAUUUCAUCUAAAUCUAUCCCCAAAUUUUAAGUUUAGCCUAAUUAAUAUUAAGAUGUUAUUCAUGUUGUAAAAAAAUAUCUUUAAAUUUUAAUUGACUUUCAAAAUUUAAUUUUCCAUUUUAAUAGUAGACACUCUAAACUUUAAAUUCCAUUUCAAUUCAUUCUGAAAUUUGAUUCUACUUAUAAAUAUAGAUUACAUUAAUCUGAAAUUAUAUUGCUAAGGGAAAAGAAACUUCAGCUAAUUAUUUAUCUUAUAUUUUAAUUGUUCANUAUUUUAAUUUUUGUAUAAAAAAUGCUUUCAAACAUUAAAGUAUAAGAAAAUUAUAUUAAAAAAUUAAAUAAAAUGAUUUUUAUCAUUUUAUAUUUAUAUGUUUUUAAGUCUAAANNNNNNNNNNNNNNNNNNNNNNNNNNNNNNNNNNNNNNNNNNNNNNNNNNNNNNNNNNNNNNNNNNNNNNNNNNNNNNNNNNNNNNNNNNNNNNNNNNNNNNNNNNNNNNNNNNNNNNNNNNNNNNNNNNNNNNNNNNNNNNNNNNNNNNNNNNNNNNNNNNNNNNNNNNNNNNNNNNNNNNNNNNNNNNNNNNNNNNNNNNNNNNNNNNNNNNNNNNNNNNNNNNNNNNNNNNNNNNNNNNNNNNNNNNNNNNNNNNNNNNNNNNNNNNNNNNNNNNNNNNNNNNNNNNNNNNNNNNNNNNNNNNNNNNNNNNNNNNNNNNNNNNNNNNNNNNNNNNNNNNNNNNNNNNNNNNNNNNNNNNNNNNNNNNNNNNNNNNNNNNNNNNNNNNNNNNNNNNNNNNNNNNNNNNNNNNNNNNNNNNNNNNNNNNNNNNNNNNNNNNNNNNNNNNNNNNNNNNNNNNNNNNNNNNNNNNNNNNNNNNNNNNNNNNNNNNNNNNNNNNNNNNNNNNNNNNNNNNNNNNNNNNNNNNNNNNNNNNNNNNNNNNNNNNNNNNNNNNNNNNNNNNNNNNNNNNNNNNNNNNNNNNNNNNNNNNNNNNNNNNNNNNNNNNNNNNNNNNNNNNNNNNNNNNNNNNNNNNNNNNNNNNNNNNNNNNNNNNNNNNNNNNNNNNNNNNNNNNNNNNNNNNNNNNNNNNNNNNNNNNNNNNNNNNNNNNNNNNNNNNNNNNNNNNNNNNNNNNNNNNNNNNNNNNNNNNNNNNNNNNNNNNNNNNNNNNNNNNNNNNNNNNNNNNNNNNNNNNNNUUUUGAUAUUUUUUUAACAUAUGAGAAAACAAUUUACAUAAUUAAGAAAUCAAGAAACAUUAGAAAAAAUUAAGAAAAAAAAUAAUUACAGUAAAAUGUAAAGUCUUAGCUUUUAGUGUUAUUGAGGAACCAAAUUGUAUAGUCAUUAGAAACCAAAUUGAAGGCUGAAGAGAGAGCUCCUAUUUCUUCAAACUAAGGCAGCUCUACAUUUAGGGAAUUUGAUCGCAGUGCUGCUUCUGUUUCUACUGUGCCUCUCUCUGCUUAAAUGCGGUAACUAGCCGUUUUCCUCAAUUACGGAAAUCUUGCGCUUCCGAGCUGUCAAAUUUGCACANUGCGUCAUUUUGAAGUUAAUCAGGUCUUGUUCAUUUACCCAGCGAUACUGAAAUUUCUUCACAUCCACAGUAACAAAAAAACUAUGGUAAUCCAACAAUGUCGUAAUCCUGCUCAAACUGAAACGAAAACGAUUAAUACCACGUGCGUUCAUAGAAACGUCUUGAUAAUGUAACCACAUGUGAUCUGUUCUAAAAUCCAUUGGAAUUUCUUCAUGGUCUAGACGAAAUAUUACGCAACACAGAACACCAAUGAAAUUAUUGUCAUGUGGAACGGGAGGUAGAUCAACGGUUAGGUAUUUUUCGUCCAGGUUUUCUUUGUCCAGGUAUUGUAUGUCCACGUUCACAAACUCAUUGUUGAACAAAUUCGGUAUUUGACUUCCAGGCAUAAUACUAUCAGGCAUAUGAGUUAUAGGGAAUGGCAAUUGGUAGGUGGCCUGGUACCAGCAGAGUUAUUGGUUAGUAGUUGUUCUCCUACACAAAACAAAAAUUAAAAAGCAAGAAGAAGAAGAAGAAGGAAAGAGCAUCCACACCUGAAUAAUUUGAAUUGUCCAUGAAAAACUCUUUCUAAUGCACUCUUCAAUCUCAACUAAUUCUGGGCACCCGAAUAUAUUUAGUCCUACAUUCCAAAAAUAUAUACCUUCUUCCUUAUUAAGAAAAUAACGCGAUUCAAAUAUUGAAGAUAGGAGGAAUCUCGACGAGGAAAGUUUUGAGGACAAGACACUUCCUGAAGGAAGAUCGGGCAAGUAUUUCAAUUGCUUGCAAUCCUGUAAGUUUAAAUAAUACAGUCUCCAAAGGUCCUUGAGAUUAGGCAAUGUAACAAAAUUGUUUCCCUUUAAAUUUAGCUUCUCUAAGGAACUUAACUUUCCAAUGUAAUCAGGAAUUUGAGCUAAGUUACAGAAGCUUAGAUCGAGUUCACACAAACAAGAAAGAGGAGAGGAGGGCGACAAACAGCUGAUCAAGUACUCUGUGUUCCUUGUUUCAUCUUGUAAGCAUUUACUAUCUAUUAUUGAACAACCACUUACAUCCAGAUAUUUAAGAGAAUUCAGUCCCAAUAUAGUAUUGGAUAAGAUUACUAGUUUUUUGCAGUCUCUCAAAAUCAAACCAACAAGCUUUCUCAAACUCCCAAUAGAUGGAGUGAGUUUUUGGAGCUGUAUGCAUCCUAAAAGAAUUAUCCAUUCAAGAUUUAGGGCCUCUGCUACAUCUGGCAUCUCAACUAAACUUUCGCAAAAGGAGAGAUCCAAACGCUUCAAAUUGGGUAAAGGCUACAUAAAUGGGCAAAAAAAAAAAAGAAAACAAAAUUAAUAAUGACACUUGGGUUUUAUUUAAUUUCUUUUCUCCAUAAAUUAAUCAAAGAAUAAAGGAAUUAAAAAUAAAAAGUUUGUCAUUUAUUUUCUUUAUUUUUAAAAGAAGUACACAUAAAAAAUUAAUUUACACUACCUUUGUGCCUUCCCACAGUCGUUGAAUACUGCUCCCAUAGAGUAUUAAGUCAACUAGUUUGUGUGGCUGAAAACUUUGAGGCAAACACUCAAACGGAUAUCUCCUCCAAACAAGAUAUCCUAGUUCAUUCGAAAGAUGACUCAGACUUCCCGAAAACUUCACGUACCCAACAUAAAGCAAUUUCAGGUGUUUAAUUUUUGAUAGACCAUCCGCCUUGAUUGUUUCAUAAUCUGUAAAUCAGUUGCAUGAUUCCGUAAAUUUAGAAGCAGUUUUUUAAUUGUUGAAUAGUCUAUGAUAAUAUUAGGAAGUAGCAAGUUACAUACGUGGACCGCUUUUUCUUUUCAGUUUCUUUAAUCUUAGGUGAGGCUAUAUUUUAGACAGUUUCUCAUUCAAUAAAAUACAUGAAUUUCUUCUUUCACAAUACAACCUUUACAUACCUGUAACAUCAUCCUCAAGAACUAUUGCCUCAAGGUUUCGAGUUACCUAUAACACCGCACAUUAUUAGAUGUAUGUUUUGAAGUAUUUACAAAUUCUAAAAUAAUUGCAAUCUAAAAUUUAUAAUCAAACAUGUAAAUUUUACCUCGUUCUCUGACAUAGCAUCAUGGAGAUCUUUGCAUGUCCACAACCUACUCCACUUUAUAGGCUCUUUAGGUGAUACUUCCCGAACAAUACACCUUCCCAAAUCCACUAACAAGCUAUGCAUACCUAUGGACCUCCCAUGUCUGGUAAUGAGUGAUUUAUCAAUGAGAACUUGUAUGCUAUCUUCAGGAUGAAAUCCACGGAAAUUUAGAAUUUCCUUCAAAUGUUCUUCGUGAUAAAAAUUGAAGAAGCAAGCAAUAUCCAAAAAUGUUUGUUUGUAUUUUUCUUCCAGUUGAAUAUAACUUAUGCGCAAAAUAUCCAUAAUAUUUUUACUUUUAUUUUCUUUUAGCCCUUCCAAUACACUUUUCCAUUGUGACAAACUUCGGCCAAGCAAAGAUGACCCAAUUGUUUCAAUUGCCAAGGGAUGCCCUUCAACAUGUGAUAGUAUUUCAUCUGCCAACUUUUCAUAAUCGCUCAAAAUAUAAUUAUCUUUGAAAGCAUUUCUACAAAAUAGUUGGAUAGCAUCUUCUCGUAUCAACGGUCGAACUUGAUAAAUAUCAUCCACUCCAUGUAUCUUCAAUAUUUGUUCAUCCCUAGAAACUAUGAUGAUUCUGCUCCCUUUACCUAAGCAUUCUCGCAACAAAUUGUCUCUAUUUCCGCUAAAUAUCCUCAGUUGUUGAACUUGAUCAACGUUGUCAAAAACUAUAAGUGUCUUAGCAUUGUUCAGUUUGGACUGCACCAAACAUGUUCCCUCGAUAACAUUGCAAAUCUCUACAUUUUUCUCAUUUAGAGUCUGAGAAAUUAAUUGCUUUUGUAAGCCCAACGAACGAGAAUCUACAAAUAUUUUGCUUACAUCAUCAAUAAAACAACGAUAAUUAUAUUGAUGACAAAUUCUUUCAUAUAAAGCCCGAGCAAGAGUUGUCUUUCCUAUACCACCCAUCCCACUUAUUCCGACAACUCGAACAUCGUUACGAAGGUCGAAACGCAAAAUAUUUCCUAAGUCUUGAACUCGAUCCUCUAUCCCAACUAGUUCAUCCCUUGGAAAAUUUAAAAUUUUUGGUCUCAAAUUAUUUAUUAUCUCUUGAACAAUUUUUUCAAUCUGUUCAUUCUGUGACCUGAAAAUUUAAAUGAAAUGAAGGCAAAACAUCAUGAACAGAACAUGAAAAGAGUAUAUACAUUUUUAGGAUAAAAUAUUAACGUAAAAAAUUUUAACUUAUUUUCAUUAAAUUAGUAUAUAUUUGGACUCAAUUACCUCUGUUUUUAAAUAAUGACAACGCAAAUCAUAAUUAGCAUAAAGAAAGUCUUAGAAAGCUAUAAGAUAUUGUGAUUAGUCUAUAAGCAAAAAUAGCUAAAAAGAUGCAGAAUACAAUAUAUAUAUAUAUAUAUAUAUAUAUAUAUAUAUAUNAUAAUAUUUUUACUUUUAUUUUCUUUUAGCCCUUCCAAUACACUUUUCCAUUGUGACAAACUUCGGCCAAACAAAGAUGACCCAAUUGUUUCAAUUGCCAAGGGAUGUCCUUCAACAUGUAAUAGUAUCUCACGUGCCAACUUUUCAUAAUCGCUCAGAAUGUAAUUAACUUUGAAAGCAUUUCUACAAAAUAGUUGGAUAGCAUCUUUCCAUAUCAACGGUCGAACUUGAUAAAUAUCAUCCACUCCAUGUAUCUUCAAUAUUUGUUCAUCCCUAGAAACUAUGAUGAUUCUGCUCCCUCCACCUAAGCAUUCUCGUAACAAAUUGUCUCUAUUUCCGCUAAAUAUCCUCAGUUGUUGAACUUCAUCAACGUUGUCAAAAACUAUAAGUGCUUUAGCAUUGUUCAGUUUGGACUGCACCAAACAUGUUCCCUCGAUAACAUUGCAAAUCUUUACAUUUUUCUCAUUUAGAGUCUGAGAAAUUAAUUGCUUUUGUAAACCCAAUGAAUGAGAAUCUAGAAAUAUUUUGCUUACAUCAUCAAUAAAACAUCGAUAAUUAUAUUGAUGACAAAUUCUUUCAUAUAAAGCCCGAGCAAGAGUUGUCUUUCCUAUGCCAUCCAUUCCACUUAUUCCGACAACUCGAACAUCAUUAAGGAGAUCGAAACGCAAAAUAUUUUCUAAGUCUUGAACUCGAUCCUCUAUCCCAACUAGUUCAUCCCUUGGAAGAUUUAAAAUUUUUGGACUCAAAUUAUUUAUUAUCUCUUGAACAAUUUUUUCAAUCUGUUCAUUUUGUGGCCUGAAAAUUUAAAUGAAAUGAAGACAAAAUAUCAUAACAUGAAAAAAGUAUAUACAUUUUUUAGAUAAAAUAAUAACGUAAAAAAUUUUAAGUGUCAAACUAGUAUUUUCAUUAAAUUAGUAUAUAUUUGGACUCAAUUAGCUCUGCUUUUAGAUAAGGCAUAACACAAAUCAUAAUUACCAUAAAGAAAGUCUUAGAAAGCUAUAAGAUAUUGUGAUUAGUCUAUGAGCAAAAAUAGCUAAAAAGAUGCAGAAUACAGUAUAUAUAGGCCACCGCAGUUUAAUUUGUGUAAAGCACUUCCAAAUAUCAAUAAAGCUAGAUUUGUCAUAAAAUCAAUUGAGGUUAGUAAUUAUUGAAUUGAGAGAGAAGAGUGCUCACUUAUUUCCGAUUUCCGAACCAGAGAUAUCGGCCACUUUUCUGAGAGCUUCUUUCCAUCUUUGAACUUCCUCCAUCUUCACCUUAUCUUCUCUGAAUCUAUUUUCGUGUUCUGCAAAUGCUUUCUCAUAACAUCCUUUCUGAUUGCGCACCGUCGUAGGCUCAACAUCAUAAAAGAUAGGUAUAAGAGGUCUUGCUGAAGUUUCAGAGCAAUUAAGUAUCUCUACCAGUUCACGCAAGCACCAAGUGGAAGAAGCAUAGUUCUUUGAUAAGACAACAACAAAAACUUGAGAGUCCCGAAUGGCUUGUAGAAGCUCGGGUGCUAUGAAAUCACCUUUUUUGAUACAUUGGUCAUCUUUGAAGGCAAGAAUGCCUUGUCGAUGGAGAGCUCCAAAGAGAAAACUAGUGAAGUUGUUGCGCGUGUCUUCACCACGGAAGCUGACAAAUACAUCGUAUGCAUUAGAUGAAGAAGAGGUGCGAUGGAUGAUGGCGUCGGAAGCUGGUACGGAAGGUCCGAUAGGAGCUGUUGGGUCAGACACGGUCAUGCAGUCGGACAUGCCGGACAUGAUCCGGUCCGGUUCUUUGACAAACCGGAGGAUACGGCGGAGAAUGUUGAAGACAGGCGAAUACAUCAUUAAGAAAAUCAGAAACGAAAUGUAG